Molecule: ribosomal RNA, 252 nt
Filed under: uncultured bacterium
Lineage: Bacteria
Description: partial 16S ribosomal RNA
Rfam family: Bacterial small subunit ribosomal RNA
Source: RNAcentral
UACGGAGGAUGCGAGCGUUAUCCGGAUUUAUUGGGUUUAAAGGGUGCGUAGGCGGUCCGUUAAGUCAGCGGUAAAAUUGCGGGGCUCAACCCCGUCGAGCCGUUGAAACUGGCAGACUUGAGUUGGCGAGAAGUACGCGGAAUGCGCGGUGUAGCGGUGAAAUGCAUAGAUAUCGCGCAGAACUCCGAUUGCGAAGGCAGCGUACCGGCGCCAGACUGACGCUGAGGCACGAAAGCGUGGGGAGCAAACAGG